GCCCAGGUGGUGGAAUUGGUAGACACGAGGGACUUAAAAUCCCUUGGAGCAAUACUCCAUGCGAGUUCGAGUCUCGCCCUGGGCA
Molecule: transfer RNA, 85 nt
Filed under: Candidatus Moraniibacteriota bacterium
Lineage: Bacteria; Candidatus Moraniibacteriota
Description: tRNA-Leu
Rfam family: tRNA
About the family: Transfer RNA (tRNA) molecules are approximately 80 nucleotides in length. Their secondary structure includes four short double-helical elements and three loops (D, anti-codon, and T loops). Further hydrogen bonds mediate the characteristic L-shaped molecular structure. tRNAs have two regions of fundamental functional importance: the anti-codon, which is responsible for specific mRNA codon recognition, and the 3' end, to which the tRNAs corresponding amino acid is attached (by aminoacyl-tRNA synthetases). tRNAs cope with the degeneracy of the genetic code in two manners: having more than one tRNA (with a specific anti-codon) for a particular amino acid; and 'wobble' base-pairing, i.e. permitting non-standard base-pairing at the 3rd anti-codon position.
Source: RNAcentral